Tachysurus vachellii is the source of this 1285-nucleotide long non-coding RNA. RefSeq lists it as uncharacterized. The transcript has 3 exons. The record is from RefSeq and is a predicted model, not a curated record. NCBI's taxonomy places the organism in Eukaryota, Metazoa, Chordata, Actinopteri, Siluriformes, Bagridae.
ACAGAAAGAAACAUUUCCUUUGUUACAGUGGAAUUUAAAGCUGAAUAAAUCUGAGAUACAUUUGACUACGUACAAUACUACGUGUAAUACUGUGUGUAUUUUCCAGGUCCAGAUCUUUCUUGAUGUUGUGUAGCAUCACACUGACACAGAACACUGACCUGCGACGCUCAACACUGACUUCAGUCGAUUAGUUUCCUGAUCAGAGAGGAAAUCCGUGAGCUGUUGGAGGUCACCGUGAGACACACAACACAGCAGCAGCUCGUUUCAGAGCUCUGUAGCAGUCAGACAUGAAGCUGUGAGUGACGUAAAGCUCAUCACCUCAGGAAACCACCAUCAUGUUUAACGGCUCAGACGGUUCGGUCCUGUCUACACAGCAUUUACACAGCAGCAGGAACACCCUGCUGUAUCUGUGUGUGUGUGUGUGUGUGUGUGUGUGUGUGUGUGUGUGUGUGUGUGACAGACGUGCAGAUUACAGUGGAAAAAUAUAAAAAAAAAUAUUUGGAAAAUGAUGAGUGAUCCAGAGCGAGAGGAAACAUGAGCAGGGCUGCGAGUGUUAAAUUUCCCUCAGAACCUUUAACAAUGCUGAAUUUACCCACAAUCCUCUGCACAGGAAGCUCAUUUAUGUACGUCCUGUUUGAAUACAAAUUAUUAUUUUAUUAUUUAUUUGUCAGAUUAGUUUUUCCCCUUUGUCUGUAACAAGGCACUGUGGGGGCAAAGAAAGUCUCCAUGUGUGUGUGUAUGUGUGUGUGUCUGUGUGUGUACGUGUGUGUGUGUACGUGUUCCUCUGUGUGUGUGUGUGUGUGUGUGUGUGUGUGUGUGCGUGUUCCUGUGUGUGCCAGUCGGUCUCACUAAGGGUCCCGAAUUGACAGGAAACAGUUCGGUGGGCCAAACUCUACUUCCUGUCCAUGCAGAGACACACAAUAGGGCAAGGAAUCCCCCAUGGUCUGGCACAACACACACACACAACACACACACAACACAUACACACACACAACACACACAACACACACACACAAUGUAACUGUUUGUUCAGUCAGACUCUGCUAAGAUUAAUGUAUUUUAUCCCUCAUGGACUUCACUAUAAAAUGGAUCCGCAGCAGCUCCACCUCCACAUCAGCGGAGAUUAGAUGGUGUUUUCAGGAUGAUGUUCGUUAUUUAUUCUCAAUUAGUAUAAAGACUAUUCUGUCGUUCUGAAGAUCUUUGUGAAGACACAUAACUUAUCUCUCUGUCCUCAGAUUACAUUCAAAACACUGAGUAAAUAAAUCAAUAAAACAACUUCAACUAA